Molecule: long non-coding RNA, 609 nt
Organism: Pipistrellus kuhlii (Kuhl's pipistrelle)
Lineage: Eukaryota; Metazoa; Chordata; Mammalia; Chiroptera; Vespertilionidae
Exons: 2
Source: RefSeq, a predicted model, not a curated record
AUGAGUCUUUUUCUGUGUGCAAAAGUGUUCUGUGUUAUUUAGGACCCUGGCCAACCCACUAGAUAUCAACAGCACCACUAUGUGUGCGACAGCUGAAACUGCUCCUGUAUUUCCAACACCUCUCCAAGUCAGGCUACCUGACAGAACUGGCCAGCUGAGCAGUUCUGGCCAGGCCCCGAGGACACCGGGGGUUCUGAGGAGGAUGGUCUUCUCCAGCAGGAGAUGUGCAGGAGGCGGAAGCGCUUUGUCCACCCGCCCUUCCUCCUUGCCUCUUGGCAGGUGGGAGAGGCUGUGGCCUUGGAUCUGUAGGACUGUCAUGACCACAAGUGCCCCGUGUGAGGACAGAAGCCGGCCCGCUGAGAAGGCAGAGCGGAGGGUGCACAUCCCUAAGUCCUGGGUGACAUGGUUGAGCGUCCACAGGAACCCAGGCACUGCCAGCUGCUGGGCUUUUUAGGAAGUAAAAUAUGAAGGUCUGUAUCUUUUAAACCACUGCCCAUCAGGAUUGCGAACCAAAUCCGGCUUAAUUAGAGGAAAAUGGUAUGUACAUGAUAGACAAGUGAAAGAAAAUGGAAAAGUACCAACAAAAGGUGUGUUUUUUCUCCCAGAAAA